UACGUAGGGUGCAGGCGUUAUUCGGAAUUACUGGGCGUAAAGCGUGCGCAGGCGGUUUCUUAAGUCAGAUGUGAAAGCCCCGGGCUUAACCUGGGAACUGCGUUUGAAACUGGGAGACUUGAGUGUGGCAGAGGGAGGUGGAAUUCCACGUGUAGCAGUGAAAUGCGUAGAGAUGUGGAGGAACACCGAUGGCGAAGGCAGCCCCCUGGGCUGAGAUUGACGCUCAGGCACGAAAGCGUGGGGAGCAAACAGG
RNAcentral lists this ribosomal RNA (253 nucleotides) under uncultured bacterium. Its description in RNAcentral is "partial 16S ribosomal RNA". It matches the Rfam family "Bacterial small subunit ribosomal RNA", at positions 524 to 776 of the family's 1533-position model. The record is from RNAcentral.